Molecule: long non-coding RNA, 1204 nt
Filed under: Anas platyrhynchos platyrhynchos (common mallard)
Lineage: Eukaryota; Metazoa; Chordata; Aves; Anseriformes; Anatidae
Description: lncRNA (ENSAPLG00000016559.1)
Source: RNAcentral
AUGACCUUCUUUGGCUUAUGUAUGGCUCUAUUAUUAACACUUCCCAGAACAUCAUUUGUCUGUUUUGCAAUCCUGUCACAGAACUUGACUCAUACUCAGCUUAUGACCCGUGUAACCCCAGGUUUUCCUCUACAGAAAGCACUGCAUGAGGAUUUUGAGCUCACUCUGAAGUACAGACUAGGGUGGAUCACGUUGUGUUGUGACAGCUGUGAGGAAAGAGAGCCUCAGGGCCUGUAUCUACCAGCCACCACCAGCCCAGACAUAGCUGAAAAAGGGGUUUUCUUUAUUAUUGAUUGAUUUUAUUAUUGUUUGAUUAUAAUACCUGUUCUUUCUCCGGUGUUCUUGGUUGUACCCAUUUUAUAAAUGUAACAUUUUUCACAUGCAAAUGUGCUUUCAGACAGAGUUGUGUACUCCUUGACGCACCAUAUCCCUGUUGACUCAUCUUCUUGAUAAAACGUUGUCUUACAACAACCUGGAUAUGCUUAAACUUAGGUAUAAUUGGGAGAAUAUAUUAUAACUCAUAGUUGUCCAAAUAAGAGCAAGUUAAACUGAUACUGUUUUAUGUAUGAAAUGUUCCAUAAAUACCACAUUCCCUGCCUGAAUUUAACCAACACUGAAAGUCGAACAAUUAAAAAGAGAAAAUCUUUAGUAACUAGCUGUAUAGCCCAAAAUACUAAGUACUGGUGGUAAAAUUUAUGUAUAUACAAGUGCACAUAAACACAAAGUGGUUUGGAACACUGUUCAAAUGGUCUUCCAGGAAAAAAAAAAAAAGAGGAAAAAAAAAACAUAAAAACUGUGCUCUAUUUGGUUUCUGAAUUAACCAACUCCAUUAUAAGGGCUCCUGUGUUGAACUCUUGUCUUAUUCCACCGUGGUCAGACAGUAAAUUAUACAGUAAGUGUUACAACAGAGGGACAAGCUAUGUCCUAUCAAUAUACGUGUUCCACAUUAAAAAAAAAAAAAGUUCUAACUCCAACCUGACCACCUUCCUUGGUAGCCUUGGACAGAUCAACCAAAGGGUUCUCAUUUAUCUACCUUGCUUGCUGUUGCGAUGGAAAAUAAGCACUUAUCAAGUGCUCAAGGACAGAAGCGUGCACUUGUGCACCACGUGAUUUACUGUUGCUAGUGUUACCAUUUCCUCCCUCAAUCGAGCACUAUCUUUUCAUUAUCAGUAUAAAGGAAGGAAUAAAGCCAGAGCCUAUGGCA